AGUGAACGCUCGCGGUAGGCCUAACACAUCCACGUCGAACGGCCGCUCAGUAAGAGCUUGCUUUUAUGGGUGGCGAGUGGCGGACGGGUGCGGAAUACCUCGGAAUCUACUUUUACGUGGGGGACACCGUCGGGCAACUUACGCUAAUUCCUCAUACGACCUUCGGGUGAAAGCAGGGACUCUUCGGCCCUCGCGCGAUCCAAUGAGCCGAUGUCGGAUUACCUAGUUGGCGGGGUAAAGGCCCACCAAGCCAACAAACCGUAACUGGUCUGAGACGAUGAUCAGCCACACUGGAACUGAGACACGGCCCAGACUCCUACGGGAGGCAGAAGUGGGGAAUAUUGGACAAUGGGCGCAAGCCUGAUCCAGCCAUACCGCGUGGGUGAAGAAGGCCGUCGGGUUGUAAAGCCCUUUUGUGGGGAAAGAAAAGCAGCAGGUUAAGACCCCGCCGUUCUGACGGUACCCAAAGAAUAAGCACCGGCUAACUUCGUG
RNAcentral lists this ribosomal RNA (492 nucleotides) under uncultured bacterium. RNAcentral's name for it is "partial 16S ribosomal RNA". It matches the Rfam family "Bacterial small subunit ribosomal RNA", at positions 29 to 507 of the family's 1533-position model. The record is from RNAcentral.